GCCACCUUAGCUCAGUUGGUAGAGCAACUGUCUUGUAAACAGUAGGUCAGGAGUUCGAGUCUCCUAGGUGGCUCCA
Molecule: transfer RNA, 76 nt
Filed under: Bowdeniella nasicola
Lineage: Bacteria; Bacillati; Actinomycetota; Actinomycetes; Actinomycetales; Actinomycetaceae
Description: tRNA-Thr
Rfam family: tRNA
About the family: Transfer RNA (tRNA) molecules are approximately 80 nucleotides in length. Their secondary structure includes four short double-helical elements and three loops (D, anti-codon, and T loops). Further hydrogen bonds mediate the characteristic L-shaped molecular structure. tRNAs have two regions of fundamental functional importance: the anti-codon, which is responsible for specific mRNA codon recognition, and the 3' end, to which the tRNAs corresponding amino acid is attached (by aminoacyl-tRNA synthetases). tRNAs cope with the degeneracy of the genetic code in two manners: having more than one tRNA (with a specific anti-codon) for a particular amino acid; and 'wobble' base-pairing, i.e. permitting non-standard base-pairing at the 3rd anti-codon position.
Source: RNAcentral